This 301-nucleotide ribosomal RNA is filed under the name uncultured bacterium. RNAcentral's name for it is "partial 16S ribosomal RNA". It matches the Rfam family "Bacterial small subunit ribosomal RNA", at positions 509 to 807 of the family's 1533-position model. The record is from RNAcentral.
CAGUCGCCACGGGAACACGUAGGGAGCAAGCGUUAAUCGGAAUUACUGGGCGUAAAGCGUGCGCAGGCGGUCCGCUAAGACAGAUGUGAAAUCCCCGAGCUUAACCUGGGAACUGCAUUUGUGACUGGCGGGCUAGAGUAUGGCAGAGGGGGGUAGAAUUCCACGUGUAGCAGUGAAAUGCGUAGAUAUGCGGAGGAACACCGAUGGCGAAGGCAAUCCCCUGGGCCUGCACUGACGCUCAUGCACGAAAGCGUGGGGAGCAAACAGGAUUAGAUACCCCCGUAGUCCCUGUCUCUUAUAC